Molecule: RNA transcript, 2663 nt
Organism: Symphalangus syndactylus (siamang)
Lineage: Eukaryota; Metazoa; Chordata; Mammalia; Primates; Hylobatidae
Gene: ITFG2
Gene name: integrin alpha FG-GAP repeat containing 2
Source: RefSeq, a predicted model, not a curated record
UUUCUGCCUUAGGUGGCCUUGCGCUCUGGCGGCUGUCGCGACGGGGGUUCAGGGAACAUUUACUGGGGCUCCCCGCUCCCUCUGCUCUUGGAGGUGCCAUGAGGUCAGUUAGCUACGUGCAGCGCGUGGCGCUGGAGUUCAGCGGGAGCCUCUUCCCGCACGCAAUCUGCCUCGGAGACGUUGAUAACGAUACGUUAAAUGAACUGGUGGUGGGAGACACCAGCGGGAAGGUGUCUGUGUAUAAAAAUGAUGACAGUCGGCCAUGGCUCACCUGUUCCUGCCAGGGAAUGCUGACUUGCGUUGGGGUUGGAGACGUAUGUAAUAAAGGAAAGAACCUGUUGGUGGCAGUGAGUGCUGAAGGCUGGUUUCAUUUGUUUGACCUGACACCUGCCAAGAUGUUGGAUGCUUCUGGGCACCACGAGACACUAAUUGGAGAGGAGCAGCGUCCAGUCUUCAAGCAGCACAUCCCCGCCAACACCAAGGUCAUGCUGAUCAGCGACAUCGAUGGAGAUGGGUGUCGUGAGCUGGUGGUGGGCUACACAGACCGUGUGGUGCGAGCUUUCCGCUGGGAGGAGCUGGGUGAGGGUCCUGAACAUCUGACAGGGCAGCUGGUGUCCCUCAAGAAAUGGAUGCUGGAGGGUCAGGUGGACAGCCUCUCAGUGACUCUGGGACCACUGGGCCUUCCUGAACUGAUGGUGUCUCAGCCAGGCUGUGCUUAUGCAAUUCUACUGUGUACCUGGAAAAAGGACACUGGGUCCUCUCCUGCCUCUGAAGGGCCCACGGAUGGCAGUAGGGAGACCCCAGCUGUCCGAGAUGUGGUGCUGCACCAAACAUCUGGCCGUAUCCACAACAAGAAUGUCUCCACUCACCUAAUUGGCAACAUCAAACAAGGCCACGGCACUGAGAGUAGUGGCUCUGGCCUCUUUGCCCUGUGCACCCUGGAUGGGACACUGAAGCUCAUGGAAGAAAUGGAAGAAGCAGACAAGCUGCUAUGGUCAGUGCAGGUGGAUCACCAGCUGUUUGCCCUGGAGAAAUUGGAUGUCACCGGCAACGGGCAUGAGGAGGUAGUUGCAUGCGCCUGGGAUGGACAGACCUAUAUCAUUGAUCACAACCGCACCGUCGUCCGCUUCCAAGUGGAUGAAAAUAUCCGUGCCUUCUGUGCAGGGCUGUACGCCUGCAAAGGGGGCCACAACAGCCCCUGCCUCGUAUAUGUCACUUUCAACCAGAAGAUCUAUGUGUACUGGGAGGUGCAGCUGGAGCGGAUGGAGUCUACCAAUCUGGUGAAACUGCUGGAGACCAAGCCGGAGUACCACAGCCUGCUGCAGGAGCUGGGCGUGGAUCCUGACGACCUCCCUGUGACUCGUGCCCUGCUUCACCAAACGCUCUACCAUCCAGACCAGCCACCGCAGUGUGCUCCCUCCAGCCUCCAGGAUCCCACCUAGCUGUACUUGCCUCAUAGCUGGUGAAGGAUUCUUCUGAACCCCCACCCUACCCCGUAAAGGCAGGGAGGAAGACCAGAGAAGAACAUCGACAUAGAGAAACAAGAGUUUAUUCCAAUGGAGACGCAGCUGAGCCGAGCGCUUGCCACUGGGCCUGGGGUCUGCAGUUACAGAAGCAGCAAGAGGCAGACAAAGAAAGGCACAGCACAAGACCCAAGAAAGCGGACCUUGUGGAGCAAGGCAGUGAGGGAGAGGAAGGCCUUUAGGAUUUUGAGACCAGAAUGCAGAGCCAGAAUGAUUGGAGAGCAAGAAGAGUGCAAUCCAGGUAGAAGAAGCACAGAGCAAAGACGGUGGCCGAGGACCAGUGGGAAUUUAUUGCGAAUGUUCAACAGUGAUUGAGUGGUUACGCGGUUCCAGAGAUUACAGGGCCAAUGCCUUAGAACACAUGAGUUUUUUCCAGAAUUAUGUUAUCCGUGCACACACACCAUUUGAUUUAAGUAUUGUAUUUUGACCAAGGAAAGGGGGCAGAGUAAUGGUGGUGACAGAUGGAGUUGCACUGAGGAGAGAUGGGUUGGGGCAGGGAGGAAGGAGGUAGAGGACCCUGGUUAGGUCCAGGCUAGGGAGAGAGGUGCCCUUUCUCCCUCCCUCCCUCUGCCAUCAGGGCAGCAAGGAGAGCAGGUGAAGUGAGUGCAGGCAGGGUUGUUAAUGAAAGUGUGUCCCUGGGGGGCCUCUCACCUUGCAGUUGACCAGAAGAGCUGGAAUCUCUGUCCUGCUGGUCUUCCUCCUGCUCUCCUGGCCAUGAGUCAGGGCCUGCACCCGGGGAGACUCCCCCUGAAGCCAUUUCGGGUUUCCCUCCACCAGGCGUCUUUGGAUCACACUGUGCGGCUGCUGGCUCCAUCACAAAACAAUGAAGGAGGAAGUUGGACGCAGAGAGAAAUGCACAUGGGGCAAACGCCACGUGAAGGCUGAGGUCGGGAUGAUGCAUCUGUAAGCCAAGGAAGACCUAAGAUGAGCAGCAAACCACCAGAAGCCAGGGGAGAGGCACGGAACAGACCCUACCUUACCGCUGCCAGAAGGAACCAACCCUGCCAACACCUUCCUGUUGUACUUUCAGCUUCGAGAACUGUGAGAUGACAAAUUUCUAUUGUUUUAGCCACUCAAGCUUGUGAUACAUACUUUGUUAUGGCAUCCCCAGGAAACUAGUACAUUAAGUCUUAGGACCCA